Non-coding RNA from Carassius auratus (goldfish), 1036 nucleotides. The record is from the annotation of a RefSeq genome assembly. Lineage: Eukaryota; Metazoa; Chordata; Actinopteri; Cypriniformes; Cyprinidae.
GCAGAGCCAUACUCGACCGCUGCAGAGAAAGCAAGGUAAAAUUGUUACCCCCGAGAUAAAGUUGUAUGCAAGCUAUUCAGAAUACAGUUAGCAUUAGCAUACCAUGAGGUCACAUCUCAGAAAUGUGCACCCAAAUGAGCAUGGCAUAAUGUGUGGAAUUCCAGCUAAACAGUCACGUCUUGACACUUAACGUUACUUUGCAUCGCCCGCCACAAGCGCUUUGUCUGCAACACGACAAAAGGCCAUAACGGAUACAUUAAUUUCGUUCAUUUGUAGGGACAUGACCCAUCAGUGUCGUGGAUGGGGCAGGCUUCAGGGAGUUCUGUCAAGCAAUGGAUCCGAGUCACUUUGCUCUCACUGAUUGGUUUGUCUGUUUAUGUGGUACCAAUUUAUCACCCUGAAGAACAAACAAUGAAACUAUGGAUGGAGACAUUAAUAAUAUUGGGAUUAGUUGUUCUUGGAUGCCAGUCAGAUGACACAGUUGAUCAGCCACUUAAACAUGUUACUAAAUUUGAGGGAGAAUCAGUAACACUGGACUGCAAAUAUACUACAACCUCACCAUCACAAGAGCUUUUCUGGUACAUACAGAGAAGAGAAGAAUCUCCUAAACUUGUGUUACAGAGGAAUUCAUACGGAGGAGGAAGUAAUGGAACAGAGUUCCAGGAGAGAUUUUACUCUGAGGUGAAACCAACAAAAUCAGUUCCACUGAUGAUCCAGAGACUGUGUGUGUCUGACUCUGCUGUGUACUACUGUGCUUUGAGGCCCACAAUGUUAACAAGAUGCAUCUCUCUCAUACAAAAUCAACAUACAAACCUAAACACGGGAGAGAGGGGAAUGAAACGGCUGAGAUGUAACAGUUUAAUUUAUAAAUGAGCUACAAGAGUAAAAUAAUCACUAAGAGGUCCAAAACCAACUUUAAUCCAAGAAAAUAAAAUAUGAUGUCUGGUUAAUAAUAGUUUUAAUUGAGAUCAUGUUAAUGAAUGGUAAGUGACAAAACUGGUAUCAUCACUCUCAUUUUCUCAUGUUCAGUUUGAUA